Molecule: unclassified non-coding RNA, 455 nt
Filed under: Hevea brasiliensis (rubber tree)
Lineage: Eukaryota; Viridiplantae; Streptophyta; Magnoliopsida; Malpighiales; Euphorbiaceae
Source: RNAcentral
GAGAGAGAGAGAGAGCUCUGUACCUUAUAAGACCUGUGUCUUCCAACAUCAUGACAAACAGAAAAAAAUUCACUAUUGUCUACUAUGACGCAGCUUUCAUCAAGCUUCAUCUUACAAGAUGAAGCCCUGUUGGUAAUAUCAUCAAUGGAGUUGUCUGAUUUUCCCGUAACAAUGUAGAAAUUUAUACUCAUAUUGCAACACUCUUCUAUCACAAGGGUCAGUUAAAUGCAAAACUAAACAUAAAAUAAAUAGUCUAACAUCUAAAUUAGGGUGUUUUCCUUCUUAUCAUCAGCUCAGCUCUUGCAACUCUUCAUACGCUGUAUUAUGUUUCUUUUAAAAUUAGAACCCAUCAACAAGAGUUGAUAUUCAAGGCUUUAUUUCAAAUGCCAAGGGCACAUAGCUACGCAUAUGCAUGACAAGAAUUUGAGUUUGAGAAUGAAUAGCUAUUUUGCAAA